RNAcentral lists this ribosomal RNA (274 nucleotides) under uncultured bacterium. Its description in RNAcentral is "partial 16S ribosomal RNA". It matches the Rfam family "Bacterial small subunit ribosomal RNA", at positions 523 to 796 of the family's 1533-position model. The record is from RNAcentral.
AUACGGAGGGUGCAAGCGUUACUCGGAAUCACUGGGCGUAAAGCGCGCGCAGGCGGCCUGAUAAGUUGGGUGUGAAAGCCUACGGCUCAACCGUAGAACUGCAUCCAAAACUGUCAGGCUAGAGUGUGGGAGAGGAAGAUGGAAUUAGUUGUGUAGGGGUAAAAUCCGUAGAGAUAACUAGGAAUACCAAAAGCGAAGGCAAUCUUCUGGAACACUACUGACGCUGAGGCGCGAAGGCGUGGGGAGCAAACAGGAUUAGAAACCCCAGUAGUCC